AUCCUUACCUGUCUGGCCACAGGGUGCCAUGACCACGAGGGUGAUUAUUCCAGGCCAAGCCUUGUCCAUUGCAUUCUGGAAGUGCUGACUACCGUAAUUUCCCCAAAUGUGGGAAACUCAGCUGCAUAAUUUGUGGUAGUGGGGGGCUGUGUUUUUGCUUCAA
Molecule: small nuclear RNA, 163 nt
Filed under: Carlito syrichta (Philippine tarsier)
Lineage: Eukaryota; Metazoa; Chordata; Mammalia; Primates; Tarsiidae
Description: U1 spliceosomal RNA (ENSTSYG00000034037.1)
Rfam family: U1 spliceosomal RNA
About the family: U1 is a small nuclear RNA (snRNA) component of the spliceosome (involved in pre-mRNA splicing).
Source: RNAcentral